UGGGGAAUAUUGCACAAUGGGCGAAAGCCUGAUGCAGCCAUGCCGCGUGUGUGAAGAAGGCCUUAGGGUUGUAAAGCACUUUCAGCGAGGAGGAAAGGGGGUAAGUUAAUACCUUAUCUCUGUGACGUUACUUGUAGAAGAAGCACCGGCUAACUCCGUGCCAGCAGCCGCGGUAAUACGGAGGGUGCGAGCGUUAAUCGGAAUUACUGGGCGUAAAGCGUGCGUAGGCGGCUACUUAAGUUGGAUGUGAAAGCCCUGGGCUCAACCUGGGAACUGCAUCCAAAACUGGGUGGCUAGAGUGCGAGAGAGGAGUGUGGAAUUUCCUGUGUAGCGGUGAAAUGCGUAGAUAUAGGAAGGAACACCAGUGGCGAAGGCGACACUCUGGCUUGACGCUGACGCUGAGGUACGAAAGCGUGGGGAGCAAACAGGAUUAGAUACCCUGGUAGUCCACGCCGUAAACGAUGUCUACUAGUUGUCGGUUGUCUUGUACGACUGGUAACGCAGCUAACGCGAUAAGUAGACCGCCUGGGGAGUACGGCCGCAAGGUUA
Molecule: ribosomal RNA, 549 nt
Filed under: uncultured bacterium
Lineage: Bacteria
Description: bacterial SSU rRNA
Rfam family: Bacterial small subunit ribosomal RNA
Source: RNAcentral